CCUACGGGUGACUGCAGUGGGGGAUAUUGCACAAUGGGGGAAACCCUGAUGCAGCGACGCCGCGUGGGUGAAGACGCGCCUCGGCGCGUAAAACCCUGUCAGCAGGGGAGAAAAUGACGGUACCUGAAGAAGAAGCCCGGGCUAACUACGUGCCAGCAGCCGCGGUAAUAGGUAGGGGCCAAGCGUUAUCCGGAUUUACUGGGUGUAAAGGGGUCGCAGGCGGGGAUGCAAGCCAGGAGUGAAAGCCCGGGGCCCAACCCCGGGCCUGCUCUUGGAACUGGGUGGCUAGAGUGCAGGAGGGGCAUGCGGAAUUCGUGGUGUAGCGGUGAAAUGCGUAGAUAUCAGGAGGAACACCGGUGGCGAAGGCGGCCUGCUGGACUGCAACUGACGUUGAGGCCCGAAAGCGUGGGUAGCAAACAGGAUUAGAUACCCGGGUAGUC
RNAcentral lists this ribosomal RNA (440 nucleotides) under uncultured bacterium. Its description in RNAcentral is "partial 16S ribosomal RNA". It matches the Rfam family "Bacterial small subunit ribosomal RNA", at positions 338 to 795 of the family's 1533-position model. The record is from RNAcentral.